AAAUAAAUAAACCCCAAAACUGUUAGUGUCAAUGAUGUUUAGUAAACAAAAACGUAGUUUUUAUGAACGAAUGUCAGGUUGGAUAAACUACUGCCACUAAUCCUAAGUUCAGUGCGACUGGCGGUCAAGGUUAAACCGCUGCUUUAAAACACUCUCUCAUCACUAACUUGUGAUGUGGGGAUUGAUAAUAUCCUUGGAGUAAUUUUCUGCAUCAAUAGAAAUUGUGUGGCGCCGCACCAAAAUUUCAGGAUAUGCUGACCUAGCUUGAUCCAAUAGCCUCACCUUCUUUGAAUAUGUAUCCUCAAUCAUUUCCAUUUUGAAAAUUUUUGAUAUUGGAAUUACUUUUUAAUGAAAAUCCUAUGAGAAUACAAUAAUGAAUUGUGAAUUGCAAGUAUAAAAUAUAAAUGGUGCGCUUUUGGCCAAACUUUUGACUCUCAUAUUACUCCUAACUCCACGAAAAAUAUUAGUCGGGCUUUUGAGUAAAGCCCGAGCCCGACUCAAGAAAAGCCCGCCCAGGCCCGACCCGACUCAUGGGCUCAACUCAAAAGCCCGGGCCCGCCCAAGCCCUACUCAAGAGAAGCCCGCCCAGGCCCGACCCGACUCAAAGGCCAAACUCAAAAGCCCGGCCCGCCCAAAGCCCGUUGGGCCUGGGCGGGCUCGGGCUAGCCCGAUUAAAGCCCAAGCCCGACUCACCUCUACAGCAGGGGCAGGGAUCAACGCUCAACGGAAUUCAUGAAGACGGAAGACACUGACAAUAUCAAGCCGCCGUCUUGUGAAGAAAAUGCUCCUGGAGGUAUUAAACUUGAACUCAUUUUCUGCUGGACCUCGAGUCCAAUGUCUGUUUUUAAAGCCGCGAUGAAGACGACGAGCGAUUCUUUCUCAAAUUGACACCCGCUCGUCGCCGUUCAUAGUGUUAAGACGCCACUGCAUUGGCAGCAUCUCCUUGAACCCUUUGUAACUUAUUUGGACACGCUGGGUGGAUGACGGCCUCAGUUCUUAUACAUCCAUGUCUAGUUCACUGGUCUGGACCUUUUUCUUGAAGAUGGAUGAUGCUCCAAUUUUAUCCGGAUUUAGGUAUUAAACUUGAACUCAUUUUCUACUGGAGACACCGACGCUAUUAAACUGACAGACGAGCAUUGCCAAUUUCAUUUUGCUGGAGACUAGCUCGCUGGGAACACUUUGAUCUUAGCUAAAAGGCCGCUGGCUGACCUGUUUGUGAAGGAGGAGCCAAACAACAGAUUUGUUAGGGUCAGCUACUGAAGACACUGAUAUUAUCAAGUCGCCGUCUUUUGGCUUGCACUAGCUUGAAGAUGAUGCUCCAAAAUUUUACCCGGAGGUCGAGGGUCUGACCUUUUUGGUCGUUUUGGGUUUGGUUUUUUUUUUGGGAAGGAGUUGCCAAAAAAUUUUAUAUCCUUUUUUGAAUGACAUACAUUUUUUUUAAAUAGCUGACAUUUUGGCUAAAUAAAGUUUAGUUAUGAAAACCUGAAUUUUAAAAAAUAUAUAUGUAUUUAUACUAAUGUACUAAUGUAAUAAAUAAUAAAUUGUUUUUAUGGGCGAAAUUCCAAAAUAACUAUGAAAAAUUCUGAAAAAAUCAUAAGCGUCUCGGACGCAGGGGCCAUUAGAAGAUACUGAUAUUAUCAAGACGCCACGGCAAAGCAGCAUCUCCUGGGGCUCGACAUUUUUGUAACUUAUUUCGGCACGCUGGGCCGACCACAUAGGUAACCCAAAGACCGACAGUGUGUCGCCCUUAAAGACACUUUGAUCUUGGCCAGAAGGCCGAGGGUCUGGCCUUUUUGUGAACGCAGGGUCGACGACGACUUAGAUAAUUAGUUUAAAACUUUCACAAACGGGCAAUGUUUUACUUUAUUUUAAAUUUUAUUCAUUACUGUGAAAGGUUGGAAAACGGAUGAACGAGCAUCACUUACACUCUAAAUAAAAUCAUUACCAAAUCAUUACCAAAAUGCACACGUAUAUGACUGCAGAAACGGUAAUAAUAACCACCAGCUGGUAAAGAAAUUGAUUGAACCCGAAGUGAUAAUAAAGAACACUUUUUGGGAUAAAAUUAAUACCAUGAUGUAUGACAGAUGUACUACAGAAUGUAGUACAAUGUCUACCACUUGGUAAUAAACCAUACCACUUUGUACACGGUGUGCUAUUCAUACCGGGAUUAAUGCUUUUUAUUAUGUAUACCCCAUUAUUACCAAAUGUUGUG
This is a long non-coding RNA of Folsomia candida, 2212 nucleotides long. RefSeq lists it as uncharacterized. Lineage: Eukaryota; Metazoa; Arthropoda; Collembola; Entomobryomorpha; Isotomidae. The transcript is spliced from 5 exons. The record is from RefSeq and is a predicted model, not a curated record.